RNAcentral lists this long non-coding RNA (1149 nucleotides) under Solanum tuberosum (potato). Its description in RNAcentral is "long non-coding RNA (STUB_LNC005941)". Lineage: Eukaryota; Viridiplantae; Streptophyta; Magnoliopsida; Solanales; Solanaceae. The record is from RNAcentral.
CGGGGUGGAUGAAAUAGAGGCUCGCUUUCGAAGUCUUAUGUGAUAACAAGUUACCACAUAAACUUAAAUGUAAGCUCUACGGAGUUGUGGUUAGACCAACAAGGACGGAAUAGCUUCAGUGGUGGGCUAGACGAGGGAAGCGAGACUGAGAUGGUUUGGACAUAGUAAGGAGGUGCGAGAGAUUGGAUAUAGUGGAGAGGUAGGCCGAAGUACUAUUGGGGAGAGGUGACUACACAAGACAUGGAAGCUUUAGCUUACCGAGGACAUGAUAGGAGGGCUUGGAGGUCACAAAUUAGAGUAGAAGGUUAGUAGGUAGUUGAACUUUGACUCGCUUCUCGGUGGAUUUAGGCUUGGUGGGAGCUUUGUGUCUGUAGUAGUAUUAGUUGCAUACAUGUAUUGUAAUUUCAGUUAUCGCCUAUGUUGCUCGGACUCUUCAAAAAUGUUGUCACACCCAUGUCAAAUCCUCCAAACAUGCACUAUUUCUAUAGUAUCCAACACGUACCUAUCAAUAUUUUAGAAAAGUCCGAGCAACAUAGGUUACCGUAUUAUUUCAUUGUGUUAUGCUUCUUUUCCAUGGAUGCUCUGUAGUGCUCCCCGUAUUAAUUAACAUGUUUACCCCAUUGUCGUAUUCCCUUUUAUCGUAAUACUUUGAUUUACCACCCUAGUUACAAAAAUACCAGUUGAUGAUGAUGUAACAAGACACUUAUGCCCCUAACAUGCAAAAGGCUUCGAGCAAAAACUUCUUUCCCCGUGUCUCUUCCGGUCCUAAUCCUCUUUUCCUGUUCACUCACUACACCUCUCCAUCAGCCCCCAAAAUCUCCUCCCUCUUCUAACAUUGCAAAUCACCUACCGUUCAACCUUUGCCUUACCACCCCCAACCCUUUCUCCUCCAACAUCAGCUACAAGAUGUAACCCAUCCGCCCACAACUUCAGCACCCACUUGCUCUUCUACAAUUUCCUUUGUUUUCUUGGGAAAAUUCAAGCACAACUUUUUUGCAACUAGUUUUUUUUAUUUUUAGAAGGGACUUUUGCAACUAGUUUUCAUACACUUCAUAUCAUGUAAUUUCUUGUUUCACUAGAUAUUUUUUACUUUUUGCAUUAUGUUAAAACUCUAUUUACUUCAAAUUUUCCAAAGUUUUUAUGACAGUU